AGUCAUAUGCUUGUCUCAAAGAUUAAGCCAUGCAUGUCUCAGUACAAGCCAAAUUAAGGUGAAACCGCGAAAGGCUCAUUAAAUCAGUUAUGGUUCCUUAGAUCGUACCCACAUUUACUUGGAUAACUGUGGUAAUUCUAGAGCUAAUACAUGCUAACAGAACUCCGACCGGAGACGGAAGGAGUGCCUUUAUUAGAUCAAAACCAAUCGGUGACGCGGCCCCGGCCGUGUCAUCGUACAACAUGGUGAAUCUGAAUAACGUUUGCUGAUCGCACGGUCUCGCACCGGCGACGCAUCUUUCAAAUGUCUGCCUUAUCAACUGUCGAUGGUAGGUUCUGCGCCUACCAUGGUUGUAACGGGUAACGGGGAAUCAGGGUUCGAUUCCGGAGAGGGAGCCUGAGAAACGGCUACCACAUCCAAGGAAGGCAGCAGGCGCGCAAAUUACCCACUCCCGGCACGGGGAGGUAGUGACGAAAAAUAACGAUACGGGACUCAUCCGAGGCCCCGUAAUCGGAAUGAGAACACUUUAAAUCCUUUCACGAGGAUCAAUCGGAGGGCAAGUCAGGUGCCAGCAGCCGCGGUAAUUCCUGCUCCGAUAGCGUAU
RNAcentral lists this ribosomal RNA (604 nucleotides) under Ochsiella bucheti. RNAcentral's name for it is "SSU rRNA". It matches the Rfam family "Eukaryotic small subunit ribosomal RNA", at positions 22 to 602 of the family's 1831-position model. The record is from RNAcentral. Lineage: Eukaryota; Metazoa; Arthropoda; Insecta; Coleoptera; Leiodidae.